Molecule: transfer RNA, 87 nt
Filed under: Deltaproteobacteria bacterium CG11_big_fil_rev_8_21_14_0_20_47_16
Lineage: Bacteria; Deltaproteobacteria
Description: tRNA-Leu
Rfam family: tRNA
About the family: Transfer RNA (tRNA) molecules are approximately 80 nucleotides in length. Their secondary structure includes four short double-helical elements and three loops (D, anti-codon, and T loops).
Source: RNAcentral
GCCCGGGUGGCGAAAUUGGUAGACGCACAGGACUUAAAAUCCUGAGACCCCAAAAGGGUCGUGCCGGUUCGAUUCCGGCCCCGGGCA